GGCGGAAGGGGCGAUCCGAAGGUUCCGCUUCCGGCAGCGAAGGGGCUCGGGGAAGCUGAGCAGCAGGCACGAUGUCCGGUCGCGAGGGUGGUAAGAAGAAGCCUCUGAAGCAGCCCAAGAAACAAACCAAGGAAAUGGAUGAGGAAGAUAUAGCUUUCAAACAAAAACAAAAAGAAGAACAGAAAAAACUGGAAGAGUUAAAAGCAAAAGCUGCUGGGAAGGGACCACUUGCCAGUGGUGGGAUUAAGAAAUCUGGCAAAAAGUAGAAGUUCCUGUGUAGAUAAGAUGGUGAUUCCUGUUGGUUUCUUUCUUGCUUUGUGACAUCUGCAUUUCCUACUUCAACAUCUGUAGCAGCCUGCAGCCAAGAUUAAGUAUUAUCUUAAUGAGUCCAUUGUACAUUGUAAUAAACUUUUUUUAAAAAUCA
Vombatus ursinus (common wombat) is the source of this 424-nucleotide long non-coding RNA. RefSeq lists it as uncharacterized. Lineage: Eukaryota; Metazoa; Chordata; Mammalia; Diprotodontia; Vombatidae. The transcript has 4 exons. The record is from RefSeq and is a predicted model, not a curated record.